UUAAGAAUCUUGCGCAAUGGGGGAAACCCUGACGCAGCGACGCCGCGUGGACGAUGAAGGCCUUCGGGUUGUAAAGUCCGAUAAGCGGGGAAGAAUAAGCAACGGGUAAUAUUCGUUGUGAUGACGGUACCUGCCUAAAGCCCCGGCUAACUACGUGCCAGCAGCCGCGGUAAUACGUGUGGGGCUAGCGUUGUUCGGAAUUAUUGGGCGUAAAGGGCGUCUAGGCGGGGGAUUAAGUUAGGUGUGAAAUCCCUGGGCUCAACCCAGGAACUGCAUCUAAAACGGGUUCUCUGGAGUGCGGGAGAGGGGAGCGGAAUUCCCGGUGUAGCGGUGAAAUGCGUAGAUAUCGGGAAGAACACCAGUGGCGAAGGCGGCUCUCUGGCCUAGAACUGACGCUGAAGCGCGAAAGCGUGGGGAGCGAACG
Molecule: ribosomal RNA, 424 nt
Filed under: uncultured prokaryote
Description: bacterial SSU rRNA
Rfam family: Bacterial small subunit ribosomal RNA
Source: RNAcentral